CGAUUGAAGAUCCCCUGGGAGUGUGUGAGCAUCUGAAGCAAGAGAGAGGACUUGAGAAGGCUUGAAGAGAUUGUUAGACAAGGAGGAGCAAGGUGGUGAUCAAAGGAAUCGAGUACUGGAGGUUUGGAGACACAGGAAACACGUUUCCAGGGAACCUGCGGACUAGCGGAUUGUGUGCAAGUAGCUCGAAGAGGUUAUAGCCUGCGUACUACGAGGUACUAGUGAUGACCGUGGGAAGGCGCCGGCGUGACACGUACACACUGCCACUGUUGAAGAUCCUGGAGAUUUAUUAUUUAUAUUUUGAAAUAAACUUG
This is a long non-coding RNA of Lactuca sativa (garden lettuce), 314 nucleotides long. RefSeq lists it as uncharacterized. The record is from RefSeq and is a predicted model, not a curated record. Lineage: Eukaryota; Viridiplantae; Streptophyta; Magnoliopsida; Asterales; Asteraceae.